This is a long non-coding RNA of Pezoporus flaviventris, 2033 nucleotides long. RefSeq lists it as uncharacterized. The transcript is spliced from 2 exons. Lineage: Eukaryota; Metazoa; Chordata; Aves; Psittaciformes; Psittacidae. The record is from RefSeq and is a predicted model, not a curated record.
CUGACGCUGAGUGAGAGAAUUAACAAUUGAGAAGUAACAGCAGCAUUUGACUGAGGGCUCAACUGAUACACCAUAGACCUGCAGUUGAACUACAGGGUUAAGCAGUAGCCACUAUUGUUUUACCAGAGCUACUUUUAGUCUCAGUGGUGUAAUGGGAAGAGUCUUUUGCCUUAGAAAAGGCUGCUCACUAAAUUCAGCUCCUGCUGGUUUCUCUAGGGACAGUUUCUGUAUAGCAGGUGUUGCUCAGUGAGGAACCGAGGAACGCUUUGCUUCGGCUCGGAAGAGAACAGCAGAGCAGAAAGCAAGAUUUCUGUAUUUCAUAUAAUUAGUGUUGUCUUCUCUGCUUUGCCAUAGGGAAGUCCAUGACCUUCACCAUCAUUCAGCUCUCUUAAUGGCGCUCGUAACUGUAUGCUAGAACGCCAUGACUGAAAACAGAGGAAUUUAGAGUAAGGAAGAGAAAGAACAGGCCAUGAGGAGUAUAUGCUAUUCCUACCAGCUGCAGAAGGGAGGUCCCCGGCUGCUUUUGAUGCCCUGUCUCCUGUAGAUUCCAGCUCUGCCUCCAUGAGAGUCUCUACAGCAUUGCCUGGGAGGUGCAGAAAGCCCUCAGUGACUUUUAGUAUCUUCCUUAAUCUCAUCCUGCUGCUGUUUUCCUCAGGAGUUUUUUGGGGUCACUGCAGUAGCUCUUUCUGUGCACACGCUGCACAGCACCUCUAACCUUCUGAAUGACACCACUGGAGGACAAACUACUUCUGCUUUCAAGCUAUUUUGUUGUUUGCUUUGUUUCAUUAAAUAAGUGCCAUGAUUGAUGUAUUUAAUCGUUAUUUUGGUUUGAGGAGGAGCACCUUUUGAAGGUAUUAAUUUUCUUGGGUUUCAAGGCAGUGCAUAUGAAUAGAGGACCAGCACUUAAGAGGCUGUUUAUUCAGUGGAUGCACCACAAUGAGUGCAAAGUACUGUCUUUCCCAAUAAUCUCUCCAUGAGAAGUGCAAGGAAUGAAGCAGGUAUGUUUUAAUCCCUUCAUGCCUCCAUAUGCUUUAAUUUCCAAGUGCUUUAGAGCCUUCUGAAUGAAAAGUUGCAUUGUCAGACAUGAGCAGUCCUUGCAUGCAUCUGAUCCGUUUUUAACCUGCUGUACCUUUCACAAUCUCCUGUAGCAAUGAGGUUCACCAUAUAAUGACAUGUACAGUGAGUAAUCCCUUUGUUUUAAACCUGCUGCCUGAUAUUUUAUUAAGCAGCAUGGCCAGGAACAGCAAUAGCUCCUCCAUUUGGUUUGGGGUCGGGGGGGCUGAUAACCAGGUUGUCAGGUCCUCUUCUGUUGCAAAAUACUAUGUAGCCCAUAGAGUUCACAUUCUCUUGGCCCUUAUGAGCAUGUAGAGAUUAUUUUACAGGUUAGCUAUAGUAGAAUCAUAGAAUCAUAGAAAUUGGGUCUGUGGAAAAGUCAUCAUAUAGCACCAGUGCUGACUGUGAUCAUCUGCUUAAUGGGCUGAUUGACUUUAGGACCUUUCUCUUGCAAUGUCUUUUCCUUAAUAGAUACACUGAGUUACACACUGUGUUUUUUCACUGUUGUAAAAGAAUACAGGCUUAGAUCAGCCGAACCUAUACUCAACAAUUUGCUUUGGCAGAACUAUAACACCAGACAAAUCUAAAUGCCCUGUUCUCACACCUGAACUGUGUAGUUACUGAGGAGAUUUAUGAAGCUUCUUCAGCUGGUUACUUGUACUUCAGUCAUCAGGAUACAGGGAUAAGGAAGUUUUAAUUUCAUCACUACUCAAAGGCAGUCCCUUGAUGCAUGAGUCAGCUUUGAGAAGGGCUAAAUUACAGGGUGAUGAGAGAAGCACUGGCAUCACUUAAUCCCAAACAUUUAAUCUUGAAAGGUUUUGAUUUAGUUUUUAUUAAGCUUAAGAUCUGCAGAGCAAUUUUGAGGUGGUUCUAUUGUGAUUGAUUGAUUGAUUCAUUCAUUCAUUCACUGAAAACCACAGCAGAAUUACUAUUCUAAAUUACUGCUAAUUUUGCACAAAUAUAUGAGUGUUGUAACUGGA